GUGCCAGCCGCCGCGGUAACACGUAGGGGGCAAGCGUUGUCCGGAAUCAUUGGGCGUAAAGAGCUCGUAGGCGGCUCAAUAAGUCGGGUGUGAAACCCCCAGGCUCAACCUGGGGACGCCACCCGAUACUGUUGUGGCUAGAGUCCAGUAGGGGAGUGUGGAAUUCCCGGUGUAGCGGUGAAAUGCGCAGAUAUCGGGAGGAACACCAGCGGCGAAGGCGGCACUCUGGGCUGGUACUGACGCUGAGGAGCGAAAGCGUGGGUAGCAAACAGGAUUAGAUACCCCUGUAGUCC
Molecule: ribosomal RNA, 293 nt
Filed under: uncultured bacterium
Lineage: Bacteria
Description: partial 16S ribosomal RNA
Rfam family: Bacterial small subunit ribosomal RNA
Source: RNAcentral